AAUAAUUGGGAUUUGGGGGCGAACUGACAAAUAGUUGGGGGCGAACAAGCAAACAGUUGGGGGCGAACUGGUACAUGGGGCGAACAGGUCAAACUGGGGGCAAAACAUCAUGGAUUCAUUGUCUAUACAAAAAGUAAGUUUGUUUUGUUUAAAGAAACCACUAGAGCAUAUUGAUUUAUUAAUCAUUGGCUAUUGGAUGUCAAACAGGUAAUUUUGACAUAUAAUUUUUGAGAGGGAACCUGCUAAAAACUAAUUAGUAGCAAUGUAUUUUUAUCUAUGCACCAUCCCACAAACAGGAUAGCACUUACCAAGAUGAAAUACCAUACGAAAUCGUGCAACAAUUGCCGAUCGAUGCAUAUUUAUUGUUUGCUGAGAAUAUAUAUAAAAUUAAAACAUUAUAUUUUGUGUUACUUGUUUACUCUCAGUUCACUUCACCCCCAACUGUCGGUAUGGAUGCCCCCAAAUAUUUACAACACAUCUUUGGUUGCAUUUUGUAUUUAUAUUAUAAAAAUUGUUUCAUAUUACUUUGACUGGGGUGUGGUAUCAAGCCUUUUCUCCCCAUGCCAGUUAAUUUCUUUUCAAAAGGCUUGUCUUCUCUUAUGAAAAAAAAUAAAACUCUUAAACUGACACAGGAACAUUUUUGGAUAGGAUAUUGACAUACCUUUGGGCAUUUACUUUGAUUACAAGAAACACAAGUUAUAGAUAUAUAUAUAUAUUUUUUUUUUCAGAACAAUCGUCAGCACAUUCUGGUCAUCAUAUUAUGGAAAUAUUUGUGACUGAAUCCCAUCUGAAUGUUGGAUGACAUAUAUCAAGAUGACACUGAACAGGACAUAACUGAGGAAAAUGGAUGUGAGAGAAUCCAAUCUAACAGUUGGAAAUAAAUAUAUAUAUU
Molecule: long non-coding RNA, 892 nt
Organism: Gigantopelta aegis
Lineage: Eukaryota; Metazoa; Mollusca; Gastropoda; Neomphalida; Peltospiridae
Exons: 2
Source: RefSeq, a predicted model, not a curated record